RNAcentral lists this long non-coding RNA (1230 nucleotides) under Bos indicus x Bos taurus (hybrid cattle). RNAcentral describes it as "lncRNA (ENSBIXG00000007063.1)". The record is from RNAcentral. Lineage: Eukaryota; Metazoa; Chordata; Mammalia; Artiodactyla; Bovidae.
AUGCUGGUGGAUCCGGGCGUGGAUACCAGCGUGGGCCCUGCCCAGCUGGGUGAGGGGGCCUCAGUCUCCCCGUCUGGCCUGGUGCCGGGUCCUCUGGGACCCUGGGACGCAGCCUCAGUGUGGAGCCUGCCUCCCUUCACCCAUGCACCUGGACCAGCGUCCCCGUUUCUGCUCACACACAGCUCUGCAGGGCCGCCCGCGCAGCAGCCAGGAAGCAGACAUCUGCUCUUUCCCAGGCCCCCGGAGCAGGGGGUGUGGGGGGCGCUGGCCAUCCCCCUUUCCCGCCUGGCUCUGCCGCCCCACAUGCACGAGUGUGAAUGGCCUGAGAACACCAGCCCGGGGUGCCCAGAUCAGCUGCUGCCCACUUUGGGGACACCCAUGCCCACCACCCCGCCCCUGUGCUUCCGGGCUGUUCCCUGGGGGCAGGAUCAGGCUGUCCAGAUGGAGGCACGGCCAGGACCUGGGCGGUCACCUCUGAGAGGAGCGGGGGAGCUGGCCAGGUGGGCCCGGCCCUCUGCAGGCGGCAGUGACUCAGCCAACCCAGGUCCCUGGACAGCAUCCUGGCCAUUUUACAGAUGCGAAAACCAAGUCCAGGGUGGGCCUGGCCCUUGGUGCCUGGCAAGGAACAGCAUGCAGCAUCUUGUGCCCAACACUGAGGAUCCUGCUCGCCCGGUCCAGUCGGGCUGCUGGCACCGGCCACGUGGGUCGGGAGGCCCAGGAGUGCUGAGUGGGGCCCUGGAAGGCGGUGACCCUCCCGCUCAGCGUCACCCAGUGAGCCAGCCGAGGAGGUGGCAGUGGGCAGGGGCCCGCCCUUUCUGGCAGUGGCGGGCCUGCUUUGCAGCUGGCAUCCACGGAUCUGUUGGCAGAUUAGGGGGUGGGGUGGCAUCAACCUGCUUAUCCCUGGGUGAAGAUAGGAGUCAGGGCCCAGGGGUCCUGAGGUCCGUGCCCAAGGGACAUGGCUGGUCCGCAGCAGAGCCUGGUCUCAGCUGGAACCUGAGCUGUCCCCUGCCCCCAGGCCCUGGCCACAGCCCCUGGUGGUGCCAGGCUCUGGAGGCUGGGCCCUCCCCCUCCCCACUCUGCAGCUUUGUUCUCCCUCCUCUGGGCAGGCAGCCUGGACCGGGGACACAGGACAGGCGGGGCUGCGGCUGGGGGGACCCUGGGGCAGGCAGUGGGUGGCCUUCAUGUCUAACCCCAAGACCCCCAGACAGGCACAGGGUGGUCAGUGACUGA